UGGGGAAUUUUGGACAAUGGGGGAAACCCUGAUCCAGCCAUCCCGCGUGUGCGAUGAAGGCCUUCGGGUUGUAAAGCACUUUUGGCAGGAAAGAAACGUCAUGGGUUAAUACCCCGUGAAACUGCCGGUACCUGCAGAAUAAGCACCGGCUAACUACGUGCCAGCAGCCGCGGUAAUACGUAGGGUGCAAGCGUUAAUCGGAAUUACUGGGCGUAAAGCGUGCGCAGGCGGUUCGGAAAGAAAGAUGUGAAAUCCCAGAGCUCAACUUUGGAAGUGCAUUUUUAACUACCGGGCUAGAGUGUGGCAGAGGGAGGUGGAAUUCCGCGUGUAGCAGUGAAAUGCGUAGAUAUGCGGGGGAACACCGAUGGCGAAGGCAGCCUCCUGGGAUAACACUGACGCUCAUGCACGAAAGCGUGGGGAGCAAACAGG
RNAcentral lists this ribosomal RNA (429 nucleotides) under Acidobacteriota bacterium. Its description in RNAcentral is "Acidobacteria bacterium partial 16S ribosomal RNA". It matches the Rfam family "Bacterial small subunit ribosomal RNA", at positions 355 to 776 of the family's 1533-position model. Lineage: Bacteria; Pseudomonadati; Acidobacteriota. The record is from RNAcentral.